GCCACUUUGACCACUUUGGUUUCUCCAGAACAAGCAUUUCUGGCAGGACCCCAGCAGCAAGGCAAACUGGAAUUGUGGCAGGCGGUUAUGUUGCAACCACCUAGCCACGAUACCUGGAGAGCCGAGUUUAGGAGCUCGAGAAGAUUCUGCUGGACAGCGGUGGAACACUCAGAAAGACACAGGGUACCCAGGGACCAAUUGGAACAAAACAUAAUCUGACUCAUUGGAGAUAAAUAUCUAUAAACACAUUUUCUCCUUCCAGUCUUUUUUUUUUUUUUCCUGGACAGCUAAAUA
This is a non-coding RNA of Ictidomys tridecemlineatus (thirteen-lined ground squirrel), 294 nucleotides long. NCBI's taxonomy places the organism in Eukaryota, Metazoa, Chordata, Mammalia, Rodentia, Sciuridae. The record is from RefSeq and is a predicted model, not a curated record.